GCGGCCGUAGUCCAGUCUGGUCUAAGACAUCGGCCUGCCACGUCGACGACCCGGGUUCGAAUCCCGGCGGCCGCACCA
This 78-nucleotide transfer RNA is filed under the name Candidatus Bathyarchaeota archaeon. RNAcentral describes it as "tRNA-Gly". It matches the Rfam family "tRNA". From Rfam's summary of the family: Transfer RNA (tRNA) molecules are approximately 80 nucleotides in length. Their secondary structure includes four short double-helical elements and three loops (D, anti-codon, and T loops). RNAcentral also lists the same sequence under 1 other name. The record is from RNAcentral. Lineage: Archaea; Thermoproteati; Candidatus Bathyarchaeota.